GAUGAACGCUGGCGGCGUGCCUAAUACAUGCCAGUCGAGCGAACGGACGAGAAGCUUGCUUCUCUGAUGUUAGCGGCGGACGGGUGAGUAACACGUGGAUAACCUACCUAUAAGACUGGGAUAAAUUCGGGAAGCCGGAGCUAAUACCGGAUAAUAUUUUGAACCGCGUGGGUCAAAAGUGAAAGACGGUCUUGCUGUCACUUAUAGAUGGAUCCGAGCUGGAUUAGCUAGUUGGUAAGGUAACGGCUUACCAAGGCAACGAUGCAUAGCCGACCUGAGAGGGUGACAGGCCACACGGGAACUGAGACACGGUCCAGACUCCUACGGGAGGCAGCAGUAGGGAAUCUUCCGCAAUGGGCGAAAGCCUGACGGAGCAAAGCCGCGUGAGUGAUGAAGGUCUUCGGAUCGUAAAACUCUGUUAUUAGGGAAGAACAUAUGUGUAAGUAACUGUGCACAUCUUGACGGUACCUAAUCAGAAAGCCACGGCUAACUACGUG
RNAcentral lists this ribosomal RNA (497 nucleotides) under uncultured bacterium. RNAcentral describes it as "partial 16S ribosomal RNA". It matches the Rfam family "Bacterial small subunit ribosomal RNA", at positions 28 to 507 of the family's 1533-position model. The record is from RNAcentral.